Molecule: ribosomal RNA, 381 nt
Filed under: uncultured eukaryote
Lineage: Eukaryota
Description: partial 18S ribosomal RNA
Rfam family: Eukaryotic small subunit ribosomal RNA
Source: RNAcentral
CGAUAGCGUAUAUUAAAGUUGUUGCAGUUAAAAAGCUCGUAGUUGGAUUUCUGGUGGGAGCGAUCGGUCUGGCGCUUAGCGCGAGUACUUGCAUCGUCUCCGGCCAUCCUUGGGGAGAGUCUGUCUGGCAUUAAGUUGUCGGGCAGAGGAUCCUCAUCGUUUACUGUGAAAAAUUAGAGUGUUCAAAGCAGGCUUAUGCCGUUGAAUAUAUUAGCAUGGAAUAAUAAGAUAGGACUUUGGUACUAUUUUGUUGGUUUGCGCACCAAAGUAAUGAUUAAUAGGGACAGUUGGGGGUAUUCGUAUUCCGUUGUCAGAGGUGAAAUUCUUGGAUUUACGGAAGACGAACUACUGCGAAAGCAUUUACCAAGGAUGUUUUCAUUA